GUCGGGAUAGCUCAGAU
RNAcentral lists this transfer RNA (17 nucleotides) under Coffea perrieri. Its description in RNAcentral is "partial tRNA-Phe". The record is from RNAcentral. RNAcentral also lists the same sequence under 24 other names. Lineage: Eukaryota; Viridiplantae; Streptophyta; Magnoliopsida; Gentianales; Rubiaceae.